AGUCGAGGGGUAAGAGGAAGAAGCUUGCUUCUUUGCUGACGACCGGCGCACGGGUGCGUAACGCGUAUACGAUCUGCCUUGUACUGGGGGAUAGCCUUUAGAAAUGAAGAUUAACACCCCAUAGUAUAUGACUGUGGCAUCGCAGACAUAUUAAAGGUUACGGUACAAGAUGAGUAUGCGUCCUAUUAGCUAGAUGGUGUGGUAACGGCACACCAUGGCGACGAUAGGUAGGGGCCCUGAGAGGGGGAUCCCCCACACUGGUACUGAGACACGGACCAGACUCCUACGGGAGGCAGCAGUGAGGAAUAUUGGACAAUGGAGGCAACUCUGAUCCAGCCAUGCCGCGUGCAGGAAGACUGCCCUAUGGGUUGUAAACUGCUUUUAUACGGGAAGAAACACCCCCACGUGUGGGGGCUUGACGGUACCGUAAGAAUAAGCACCGGCUAACUCCGUGCCAGCAGCCGCGGUAAUACGGAGGGUGCAAGCGUUAUCCGGAAUCAUUGGGUUUAAAGGGUCCGUAGGCGGACAAUUAAGUCAGAGGUGAAAGUCUGCAGCUCAACUGUAGAAUUGCCUUUGAUACUGGUUGUCUUGAAUUAUUGUGAAGUGGUUAGAAUAAGUAGUGUAGCGGUGAAAUGCAUAGAUAUUACUUAGAAUACCAAUUGCGAAGGCAGAUCACUAACAAUAUAUUGACGCUG
RNAcentral lists this ribosomal RNA (695 nucleotides) under uncultured bacterium. RNAcentral describes it as "bacterial SSU rRNA". It matches the Rfam family "Bacterial small subunit ribosomal RNA", at positions 60 to 748 of the family's 1533-position model. The record is from RNAcentral.